This 524-nucleotide small RNA is filed under the name Pongo abelii (Sumatran orangutan). Its description in RNAcentral is "sense intronic". Lineage: Eukaryota; Metazoa; Chordata; Mammalia; Primates; Hominidae. The record is from RNAcentral.
GGCAUGGAUGGUGACCCUUCUGUCCAGUCUAGCCUGGCCGUGCUGGCCCUGAGGCCUGGAACUGGGGAGCACGAGCAGGAUGACAUCUCCAGUGUCUGUCUGGGUUGCCUGUUAGCGGAUGAGAAGUCCAGCCUUACUGCCUGUCUUCCGCCUGCAUUUAGGCUUCAUCCCUGGAAUGUCAUCUUCUGUCCACUGGAAAACGUCUAGGCUCUGCUGCCAUACAGAACCCUUCUGCUUCCUUAAGGAGACGGUCCACUGUCCCCUUGUCUUCUCUCCUCUAAGCAAGAGGGGCCCCUGCCCUUUGCCCUUUCCUGGAUGGAGCAUGAGUUUUGAUGUCAGGCAGGUCUGGGUUUGAAGCCUCGUUUGUCUUGCCUUCAGAAUAACCUCUCUAAGCCUCAGUUUUGUAGCCUGAAAAUGGGGAUGAUUAUAACUCCUGAAGGGAAGUUUUGGGAUUGGCUGAUACAUAAGAUACUUAGCACAGUGCCUGGCACACAGUAAGCGAUCAAUACAUGGUAGCAUUUAUA